GUGUUCAAACUUGACUUCGCCAAGGCCUUCGACUCCAUCGCCUGGCCCAGUCUUUGCCGGAUCAUGGAGGUGAGGGGUUUUCCCGCUAGGUGGUGUGACUGGAUGGACCUCAUCCUCUCGUCCUCAACGGCGGCGGUCCUCUUCAAUGGGGUGCCCGGGCGGUGGUUCGUCAUCCGCAAGGGGCUGCGUCAGGGCGACCCCAUGUCCCCG
Molecule: ribosomal RNA, 210 nt
Filed under: Triticum aestivum (bread wheat)
Lineage: Eukaryota; Viridiplantae; Streptophyta; Magnoliopsida; Poales; Poaceae
Description: partial small subunit ribosomal RNA
Source: RNAcentral